ACUCAAAGGAAUUGACGGGGGCCCGCACAAGCAGUGGAUUAUGUGGUUUAAUUCGAAGAUACGCGAAAAACCUUACCAGGGCUUGACAUGGAGAUGAUCGGUAUAGAGAUAUACUUUCCCCUUCGGGGGCAUCUCACACAGGUGGUGCAUGGUUGUCGUCAGCUCGUGUCGUGAGAUGUUGGGUUAAGUCCCGCAACGAGCGCAACCCCUAUUGUUAGUUGCUACGCGAGAGCACUCUAGCGAGACUGCCGUUGACAAAACGGAGGAAGGCGGGGACGACGUCAAAUCAUCAUGCCCCUUAUGUCCUGGGCUACACACGUAAUACAAUGGCGUUUAACAGAGGGAAGCAAGACCGCGAGGUGGAGCAAAUCCCUAAAAGGCGUCUCAGUUCGGAUCGUAGGCUGCAACUCGCCUACGUGAAGUCGGAAUUGCUAGUAAUCGCGGAUCAGCAAGCCGCGGUGAAUACGUUCCCGGGCCUUGUACACACCGCCCGU
This 494-nucleotide ribosomal RNA is filed under the name uncultured bacterium. Its description in RNAcentral is "bacterial SSU rRNA". It matches the Rfam family "Bacterial small subunit ribosomal RNA", at positions 899 to 1397 of the family's 1533-position model. The record is from RNAcentral.